RNAcentral lists this small nuclear RNA (329 nucleotides) under Jaculus jaculus (lesser Egyptian jerboa). Its description in RNAcentral is "7SK RNA (ENSJJAG00000001963.1)". It matches the Rfam family "7SK RNA". From Rfam's summary of the family: 7SK was discovered as an abundant small nuclear RNA in the mid-70s but a possible function has only recently been suggested. The record is from Rfam by way of RNAcentral. Lineage: Eukaryota; Metazoa; Chordata; Mammalia; Rodentia; Dipodidae.
GGAUGUGAGGGUGAUUUGGCUGUGACAUCUGUCACCCAUUGAUCACCAGGGUUGAUUCGGCUGAUCUGGCUGACUAGGCACGUGUCCCCUUCCUCCCUCUCUGCCCCGUGUGUGCCCCUCCCAAAGCUGUGCACUUGGUGCAAGACGACCACAGCCUUCUCCAAACAGAGGAGGCCGGUCCUCGGUCUAGGGAGUACGAGUAGCUGCGUUCCCCUGCUACAACCUCCAGACACGCUCGCAAACCAUCCUCAGCUUGUACUUUCUCUUGGGUCUUCCCUGCUUGUUUGCAUGGUUUCCCAGUUGGUCAGGGAUACAUGAGAACUUAUUUC